Molecule: long non-coding RNA, 337 nt
Filed under: Mus pahari (shrew mouse)
Lineage: Eukaryota; Metazoa; Chordata; Mammalia; Rodentia; Muridae
Description: lncRNA (MGP_PahariEiJ_G0002150.1)
Source: RNAcentral
ACGGGAGGGACGCGGUGGGCCACCUGGUGCGCGCCAGCGGGGCCGCAAAGACAGCCGGCCGGUGUGAACUUCGGGGCUACAGGAUCCGCUGGGCCGAACCUACGGCCCCGCGGGCCGGGUGGCCAAGUUCCACUUGAUACCAACUAUAUUUUAAAAAUGCACAAUUUAAUCAGAACAAGGGCUGACCAUUUUGAAGGACCUUUAUUUCCUUGAUGCUCCCGGUCUUUGUCUUCAUCUUCUAUCGUCUCUCAUAGAAUGGCUGAGCUCUGUGUGUAUCACUAAGGUAUCAAACGUGAUGACCACCAGGGUGAUGAUGAUGACGACGUCAAUGAUAGUA